This 460-nucleotide ribosomal RNA is filed under the name uncultured bacterium. RNAcentral's name for it is "partial 16S ribosomal RNA". It matches the Rfam family "Bacterial small subunit ribosomal RNA", at positions 338 to 795 of the family's 1533-position model. The record is from RNAcentral.
CCUACGGGUGGCAGCAGUGAGGAAUAUUGGUCAAUGGACGCAAGUCUGAACCAGCCAUGCCGCGUGCAGGAUGACGGCUCUAUGAGUUGUAAACUGCUUUUGUACGAGGGUAAACCCCGAUACGUGUAUCGGGUUGAAAGUAUCGUACGAAUAAGGAUCGGCUAACUCCGUGCCAGCAGCCGCGGUAAUACGGAGGAUCCGAGCGUUAUCCGGAUUUAUUGGGUUUAAAGGGUGCGUAGGCGGUUUGAUAAGUUAGAGGUGAAAUGUCGGGGCUCAACCCCGAAACUGCCUCUAAUACUGUUGGACUAGAGAAUAGUUGCGGUAGGCGGAAUGUAUGGUGUAGCGGUGAAAUGCUUAGAGAUCAUACAGAACACCGAUUGCGAAGGCGGCAAUCUGGCUGGAAACUGACGCUGAGGUGCGAAAGCGUGGGUAGCAAACAGGAUUAGAUACCCCAGUAGUC